Molecule: long non-coding RNA, 455 nt
Filed under: Homo sapiens (human)
Lineage: Eukaryota; Metazoa; Chordata; Mammalia; Primates; Hominidae
Description: HSALNT0217828
Source: RNAcentral
CUAGGUAGGAGGUGGGAUGCCCCAGGGCAGGGGGAGGUAGGAGUCAUCCUAGGAGAUUCUAGCGAGCCCAUGAGCAGCUCUCCACAGCCCAGGCACAACGACCCUACAGGUGCUUUCAUGUUCUUCUUCAAGCCACAAGAUAAACACACAAGGCUUCUCAGAGUGCUGGGCAGGUCUCAGGCCUUGCGGGGCUGGAGGGAGCUGGAGUGGUGGGGUCUGGGGUCCACAGUGGCUGGAAGUAGCAGCUCAGGAACCUUCAGAAACCCUGGGAAGGGCAGCUGGCCACACAGAGCCAGCAGGUGUCCUUGGCAUUUGCCUUACAUUCUGGGAGAACAAAGGGCUGCGUCUUAAUCCGGUGGGGAACUCAAGUGACAGGUUAUCCCUGUCCAGCCUCUCUGUCCUAAGGGAGCAUGUUCAGCAUGAGUGACCCAGGACUCUGGGAACAGCUGGAAUUC